UGGGGAAUCUUGCGCAAUGGGCGAAAGCCUGACGCAGCCAUGCCGCGUGAAUGAUGAAGGUCUUAGGAUUGUAAAAUUCUUUCACCGGGGACGAUAAUGACGGUACCCGGAGAAGAAGCCCCGGCUAACUUCGUGCCAGCAGCCGCGGUAAUACGAAGGGGGCUAGCGUUGCUCGGAAUUACUGGGCGUAAAGGGCGCGUAGGCGGACAUUUAAGUCAGGGGUGAAAUCCCGGGGCUCAACCUCGGAACUGCCUUUGAUACUGGGUGUCUUGAGUGUGAGAGAGGUAUGUGGAACUCCGAGUGUAGAGGUGAAAUUCGUAGAUAUUCGGAAGAACACCAGUGGCGAAGGCGACAUACUGGCUCAUUACUGACGCUGAGGCGCGAAAGCGUGGGGAGCAAACAG
RNAcentral lists this ribosomal RNA (403 nucleotides) under uncultured bacterium. Its description in RNAcentral is "bacterial SSU rRNA". It matches the Rfam family "Bacterial small subunit ribosomal RNA", at positions 355 to 775 of the family's 1533-position model. The record is from RNAcentral.